RNAcentral lists this transfer-messenger RNA (101 nucleotides) under Polynucleobacter sp. 24-46-87. RNAcentral's name for it is "partial transfer-messenger RNA". It matches the Rfam family "transfer-messenger RNA", at positions 271 to 374 of the family's 374-position model. From Rfam's summary of the family: Bacterial tmRNA, also known as 10Sa RNA or SsrA, is named for its dual tRNA and mRNA-like properties. Its role is to liberate the mRNA from a stalled ribosome. To accomplish this part of the tmRNA is used as a reading frame that ends in a translation stop signal. The record is from RNAcentral. RNAcentral also lists the same sequence under 2 other names. Lineage: Bacteria; Pseudomonadati; Pseudomonadota; Betaproteobacteria; Burkholderiales; Burkholderiaceae.
CAAUCUGUGACUAGCCGGCUAAAUUAAAUGAUAUGACUAAGUAUGUAGAACUUGUUGUAGAGGAUUUGCGGACGCGGGUUCGAUUCCCGCCGACUCCACAC